CCUACGGGUGGCUGCAGUGAGGAAUAUUGGUCAAUGGGCGCAAGCCUGAACCAGCCAAGUCGCGUGAGGGAUGACGGUCCUAUGGAUUGUAAACCUCUUUUGUCAGGGAGCAAAGGGCGCCACGUGUGGCGCUUUGCGAGUACCUGAAGAAAAAGCAUCGGCUAACUCCGUGCCAGCAGCCGCGGUAAUACGGAGGAUGCGAGCGUUAUCCGGAUUUAUUGGGUUUAAAGGGUGCGCAGGCGGAAUGUCAAGUCAGCGGUAAAAAUUCGGGGCUCAACCCCGUCGUGCCGUUGAAACUGAUGUUCUUGAGUGGGCGAGAAGUAUGCGGAAUGCGUGGUGUAGCGGUGAAAUGCAUAGAUAUCACGCAGAACUCCGAUUGCGAAGGCAGCAUACCGGCGCCCAACUGACGCUGAAGCACGAAAGCGUGGGUAUCGAACAGGAUUAGAUACCCGUGUAGUC
Molecule: ribosomal RNA, 459 nt
Filed under: uncultured bacterium
Lineage: Bacteria
Description: partial 16S ribosomal RNA
Rfam family: Bacterial small subunit ribosomal RNA
Source: RNAcentral